Molecule: unclassified non-coding RNA, 125 nt
Organism: Meriones unguiculatus (Mongolian gerbil)
Lineage: Eukaryota; Metazoa; Chordata; Mammalia; Rodentia; Muridae
Source: Ensembl
CACCGUUUCAGUGGCAUUUAAAUCCCCGGCGCUCCUCAGUCUAGGUGACGCGCGCUCGCCCCCCCAGGCAGCCCGGGCCUCGGCGGUAGCUGCGGUCGCUGCCAGAGCUGACUUGAAGCGCUGGG